This 497-nucleotide ribosomal RNA is filed under the name uncultured bacterium. Its description in RNAcentral is "partial 16S ribosomal RNA". It matches the Rfam family "Bacterial small subunit ribosomal RNA", at positions 28 to 507 of the family's 1533-position model. The record is from RNAcentral.
GACGAACGCUGGCGGCGUGCCUAAUACAUGCAAGUUGAGCGCUGAAGGUUGGUACUUGUACCAACUGGAUGAGCAGCGCACGGGUGAGUAACGCGUGGGGAAUCUGCCUUUGAGCGGGGGACAACAUUUGGAAACGAAUGCUAAUACCGCAUAAAAACUUUAAACACAAGUUUUAAGUUUGAAAGAUGCAAUUGCAUCACUCAAAGAUGAUCCCGCGUUGUAUUAGCUAGUUGGUGAGGUAGAGGCUCACCAAGGCGAUGAUACAUAGCCGACCUGAGAGGGUGAUCGGCCACAUUGGGACUGAGACACGGCCCAAACUCCUACGGGAGGCAGCAGUAGGGAAUCUUCGGCAAGAGACGAAAGUCUGACCGAGCAACGCCGCGUGAGUGAAGAAGGUUUUCGGAUCGUAAAAAUCUGUUGGUAGAGAAGAACGUUGGUGAGAGUGGAAAGCUCAUCAAGUGACGGUAACUACCCAGAAAGGGACGGCUAACUACGUG